UGGGAGUGAAAGGACGGUCUGGUGUCUCGCGAAGGCCUGGGGACCGCAUGUGGGAUGGGAAACUUUAGUGAAUUUGGGUGGUGUGUGAACCAGGCUGAAAAUGAGUCCUCUGUGUAACUGAUAGCUAUGGGAAAGGGAAAUGGGCUUUAGGUCUUUUGGAGUCUGAGCCUCCAGAUUUCUGGAGCCACCCGACCCUUGGCGACACACCAGCGAAGAUUUGUCUGCUCCUGAGAAAAGAGGAAACAUUGAUGCCACCCAGAGAGACUCACAGAGACAUCUUGCUUCCUUUAUAUAUUUACAUAUUGAGAUGAGAGAAGUAGACUAUAACUGUAUAAGGACUUCAAUCUAAGCCUCUGCUUUGUGUAAAAGGAGUGACUAAUGAAUAUGAAUUUGUUAACUGCAGGUUUUCCAGUUUCUUAAUGCCAAAUGUGAGUCCGCAUUCCUUUCCAAAAGGAACCCUCGGCAAAUUAACUGGACUGUCCUCUACAGAAGAAAACACAAGAAAGGACAGUCGGAAGAAAUUCAAAAGAAAAGAACCCGCCGUGCAGUCAAGUUCCAGCGGGCCAUCACAGGCGCUUCUCUGGCUGAUAUAAUGGCCAAGAGGAAUCAGAAACC
RNAcentral lists this long non-coding RNA (615 nucleotides) under Rattus norvegicus (Norway rat). RNAcentral describes it as "long non-coding RNA NONRATT006953". The record is from RNAcentral. Lineage: Eukaryota; Metazoa; Chordata; Mammalia; Rodentia; Muridae.